AAUUAGAGUAUUCUCAUGUUGCCACGUGUAUCCUCUCUUUAAAAGUCGUAUGCCUUCUUUUUUCUUUUUAAAUGGGCUUUCAACAAAAUUUCUAAUUAGUAGGUAACUGAUACUACUCUCUGGGCCGAAAUCAAACAAAUGUUAGGUCCAUCUUGCCUACAUCUUUCUAGGUUCAUCGGUUCAUCAAAGAUUUGCUUCCGUUCCCCCAACAAUGGCGGUUCUGAAAUUCCGAUCGACGCUUUGUGAGUAAUCGCCAAGUUGGUGACGUUUCGGUCUCUAUUCCUCACCUUCGAACCGUUACCAAUCGACUUAAUUGAACGUCAUUAACCAAUACUUAACUUCUCAUGCCCACUACAACCAAGAUUUUGCAGUCAAUGAUUCUUACAAUUCAUCCCGUCGGUGAUUCUCAUCUAUAAAAAGGAUCUCUAAAGCUAAAGUUGUCUUCCUCUUGGAUACUCUAAUGUAACAUGCUCGAGGUCGUCGCCGCCGGCGAAGUGCUUACCGUGUCACCAUUUGCUUUAAAGCUCUGUUUUUGAUUAGCAUUAACAUCCUGAAAGAUCGAGACUUUGCAACCCUUCAAAUCUAAAAUCUCAUUUCUAAGAAAGUUAAGAAAUUCACCGGAGAGAUUUGAUUGACGACCAGCCGGAGACAACGACGAUGAAAGCGCCUCACCUCCGAUACAUUUCUCCGACUAUCAGAUAAUA
Molecule: long non-coding RNA, 704 nt
Organism: Brassica oleracea var. oleracea
Lineage: Eukaryota; Viridiplantae; Streptophyta; Magnoliopsida; Brassicales; Brassicaceae
Exons: 2
Source: RefSeq, a predicted model, not a curated record